GCAUACCUUUCUACUCAUGCAUGCUUUAGCAAUUUCAAGAGCCUGAACGCCCCAAUAGCAGCAGUGCUAAAGCUCCUUUUGGGUUGAUUGCUUGUAAGUGCUGUGAUUCUUCCCACUGAACUAAGCUUAUGAUCUGUAAUUGGAGUACAUCCAUUGACCAUUGGGAACUUAGCCUCUGCUGUUGCAUAGGUUGGAUACACUCUCACAGGACAACAGGUUCGUAACACUGAUCUCCAAUAUGGGAAAUAACUUCUCCUUACAUAUUUAUAGGCAAUGAUAACUUCUUAUUCAUAUUCUUUCAAACACCUGGGUGUUAAUUGAUCCUUCUGCCCACCUUCUCAUAGGCUGAAGACUCUGAAUUGAAUAUGCAUUCCAAUAUUAUGAGUGCACUCCAUCUGGUUAUUUUGGAAAACUGAAAUUUGUUACAGGUAAAGAGGACAAUAUCUACUUGGUUUUUUUCUCAUUGUCUUUUGAAACUGUUAACUUUCUUUGUAGCUUUUUCCAGCUGUUAUUGAUGGAAGGGAAAGCCUAUGAUUCUACAGUAUAUUGAUUGGUCCCAUACUAUUUGCCUCUGCUUCCUUUUAUGUGUUCUAAUGCGGUCUAUACAUUAUUAUUUAGUAUGGAUUGGUGAAAAGAAUGAAUACUCUUCAUAGCUUAUGUUGCUGAUGAGAUAGGUAUAUAGAAGAUUAAUCAGUGCUAUUGUAGCAAUCUAUUAACACCAUUUUUUGACACGUGUUAGAAAAAAAGACGUCAAAAGGUAGCGAAGGUGCUGGUACAAGACGAAGGCUGGUAGAGUCGGCUGAUGGAGUCGCGGUAGCCCAGCCAAUGAAGUCAUAGUAUCCCAGCCGAUGGAGCCACAGUGGUCCGAUUUUUGCUCAACACAAUCCUACAUGUCUACUUCAGUACUUGAGUUAGUAGAAACCGUGUACAGGCAAAGGUGAAUACAAUUCUGUAGAACAAGAUAAAAUUACAGCAUGGGGAAGGUCGAAGAUGGCACUCAAGUGAUCAGUGUGUUAGUCUUAGUUUCCUUUGCAAAAUAAUUGUUUGUUAGCAUCAGAUGGCAGGCAUGAACUUAAGUGCUUUGUGCCUUCUUACUCAAAGUCCUGUACACUUCAUGCAUUUAAUCUGAUAGUUCAAGGCUUAGAUAUGAGCCACUUUAUGUGUUUUCAUAUUUGCUUUGACACUUAUGUAGAAUUGAUCCUUGUGUAUCUCAAUACGGCUAAAAAACAACAAAUUAUUAGAAUCGUAUGAUAACAAAGCACUAUAUUUUUAUACUCUUGUUAGGAGUUUUUUGUUUAUUUAAUACACUAUUAUCAUCAUAUUGAAUACUCAGUGUAUCAUAAUAUAAUAAAAUUUUUUCCACACGUAGCAACGCACGGGUACGAUCCUAGUCCUCUUUAAAAAUGUUUCGUAGCACAUAUACAGUAGUUCAGAAAAGAAGCCAAUUUCGUAAGAUUUUAGUUAUUCUUUGAUAACCACCUCUCGCGAGCGAACGAAUUUGAUGGCACGAUGAACAUUUCCCUAUAGUAUGUAAUUUCAGAGGCGGGUGGAAUUUGCAUUUUGAAGUCUGAGACACAAACCGACACGUUUGGGGGGGGGGGGGGAAGCACAUUUCCCAUUGCAUUAAGCCAAAGGCAUUGUGUAGGUCCAGGUCACCCACAAUUGUUAUUCAGUUAGUAUUACACGGCCAUUAACACACAAAGGCCAUAGUAGCAUAAGGUUUAGCCACAUCAAUGCCAUUUAAUUGGGAACAUCCACUAAAAAAACGCAACACUCAGUGACCAACCAGCUCGAUCUUGGAGAAACUUGCACGUUGUAACACCCAUUUGCCACCAGGCACCUGCUCAAACAAAAACAUGGUGGCACAAAGGUAUGUUGGAGCAUGGUGUCAUACAAACUUAAACAGCAGAAAACAAGACACGGUAAAAGAAUACCUAACCCUACCAAGUAAGUUACAGAAGUCCUAUCGGGCGAUUGGUCUUACUAGCAACUUCACCGCAUUAAUUCUAGUGGUUAUGUGGGACAUGUUCAGAAAAAUUGGGCCAGGGAAACAAAAUUUGUGGCAUACCUUUCUACUCAUGCAUGCUUUAGCAAUUUCAAGAGCCUGAACGCCCCAAUAGCAGCAGUGCUAAAGCUCCUUUUGGGUUGAUUGCUUGUAAGUGCUGUGAUUCUUCCCACUGAACUAAGCUUAUGAUCUGUAAUUGGAGUACAUCCAUUGACCAUUGGGAACUUAGCCUCUGCUGUUGCAUAGGGUGGAUACACUCUCACAGGACAACGGGUUCGUAACAGUGAUCUCCAAUAUGGGAAAUAACUUCUCCUUGCAUAUGUGGGAUCCCAUCCGCCACCUACUUCUGUUCUUGCAGCCU
Molecule: long non-coding RNA, 2366 nt
Filed under: Setaria italica (foxtail millet)
Lineage: Eukaryota; Viridiplantae; Streptophyta; Magnoliopsida; Poales; Poaceae
Description: long non-coding RNA (SITA_LNC001468)
Source: RNAcentral